GUCUUCACCCAAUCUCAUCUGAUAUUGGAAGAUUAGC
This 37-nucleotide ribosomal RNA is filed under the name Castor canadensis (American beaver). Lineage: Eukaryota; Metazoa; Chordata; Mammalia; Rodentia; Castoridae. The record is from RNAcentral.